CCCUUGACUCUGGGAUAAGCCCGGGAAACUGGGUCUAAUACUGGAUGCUACAUGUCACCGCAUGGUGGUGUGUGGAAAGGGUUUACUGGUCUUGGAUGGGCUCACGGCCUAUCAGCUUGUUGGUGAGGUAAUGGCUCACCAAGGCGACGACGGGUAGCCGGCCUGAGAGGGUGACCGGCCACACUGGGACUGAGACACGGCCCAGACUCCUACGGGAGGCAGCAGUGGGGAAUAUUGCACAAUGGGCGAAAGCCUGAUGCAGCGACGCCGCGUGAGGGAUGACGGCCUUCGGGUUGUAAACCUCUUUCAGCAGGGAAGAAGCCACAAGUGACGGUACCUGCAGAAGAAGCGCCGGCUAACUACGUGCCAGCAGCCGCGGUAAUACGUAGGGCGCAAGCGUUGUCCGGAAUUAUUGGGCGUAAAGAGCUCGUAGGCGGUUUGUCGCGUCUGCUGUGAAAGCCCGGGGCUUAACCCCGGGUGUGCAGUGGGUACGGGCAGACUAGAGUGCAGUAGGGGAGACUGGAAUUCCUGGUGUAGCGGUGGAAUGCGCAGAUAUCAGGAGGAACACCGAUGGCGAAGGCAGGUCUCUGGGCUGUUACUGACGCUGAGGAGCGAAAGCAUGGGGAGCGAACAGGGAUUAGAUACCCUGGUAGUCCAUGCCGUAAACGUUGGGCACUAGGUGUGGGGGACAUUCCACGUUUUCCGCGCCGUAGCUAACGCAUUAAGUGCCCCGCCUGGGGAGUACGGCCGCAAGGCUAAAACUCAAAGGAAUUGACGGGGGCCCGCACAAGCGGCGGAGCAUGCGGAUUAAUUCGAUGCAACGCGAAGAACCUUACCAAGGCUUGACAUAUACCGGAUCGUUCCAGAGAUGGUUCUUCCCCUUUGGGGUCGGUAUACAGGUGGUGCAUGGUUGUCGUCAGCUCGUGUCGUGAGAUGUUGGGUUAAGUCCCGCAACGAGCGCAACCCUCGUUCCAUGUUGCCAGCACGUGAUGGUGGGGACUCAUGGGAGACUGCCGGGGUCAACUCGGAGGAAGGUGGGGAUGACGUCAAAUCAUCAUGCCCCUUAUGUCUUGGGCUUCACGCAUGUUACAAUGGCCGGUACAAAGGGUUGCGAUACUGUGAGGUGGAGCUAAUCCCAAAAAGCCGGUCUCAGUUCGGAUUGAGGUCUGCAACUCGACCUCAUGAAGUCGGAGUCGCUAGUAAUCGCAGAUCAGCAACGCU
Molecule: ribosomal RNA, 1221 nt
Filed under: Kocuria sp. YQH21
Lineage: Bacteria; Bacillati; Actinomycetota; Actinomycetes; Micrococcales; Micrococcaceae
Description: bacterial SSU rRNA
Rfam family: Bacterial small subunit ribosomal RNA
Source: RNAcentral